GGUUCAAAUGCUCAGUGAUGUUCCAGAAGGAAAAACCAUGCAUUAAGAGCCGGGGGGUGAAAAAAAUCCCAGGAUGGCGACGACGAUGACCGUACUUUAUCACAAUCAUCAUCUUCCGGUCACCACUCAGACUCUUCCUCGAGGUCUAGCUCGUCCAAUGCAACGGUAACACACGGCCCCAGUUCUGACCGUCACUUGAAGGAGGUUGCAAUACAGACUCAGGCAGAUGGACUAACUUACACAUGGUCUUCUGGUAGGUUUACAUUAUCUGAUACUUCAGGCCAGCCAGACUCUAUUCUUUUGGGGUGUACCUCAGGGUUAUAGUUUAGGACCACUUUGUUCUUGUUCUGCGAAAAAUGUAUUUGGGACAAGAACACGCCCAAAUCAUAUUUCAUAUUAAAAUCAAAAUAUAUAUAUAUUUUUUAUUUGUUUGUUUGCAUUUUUACACUAUUUUCAUGACAUUUAAGCACAUUUUGCUCCAAACUCCCAUUACCGUAAUGCAAAAAACCUGGAAAGACCUGGACAUGUUUUUGUGAGAUCCACCCAUUUAUGUUGUCAAUUGUUUCAGGCAAGGCUGCCAUUGGUCCAUCACUGGGCAUGACGUACAUGGACCCCACCCCAAUAGCCAGUCACACAGUCAGCGCUGAAACCAUCGAGAGUGAGUAUACAAUAUGAACUACACGCUUUACGUCUGAAUAACCCUGAACCUAGGAAACAUGAAUAUCUCAAGUUUGACGGCAUACAGUCCCGCUGUUUUUGCACUCAACGAUGUUGCUGCAGCAGUUAGAUCUCACUAGAGCAUUCAUCGACUCCACCAGACGUCACUACACGUCAUUGAUUGAGUCACUGGGACCUGCUGAUUACAAAUACACCACACUAGAGGAUACUAAAGAGUUUAUUCACGCUCACAGGCCGCCCAAACUGAGUAUUGAAGACGCUUUAGAGGAA
Sinocyclocheilus rhinocerous is the source of this 948-nucleotide long non-coding RNA. RefSeq lists it as uncharacterized. The transcript is spliced from 3 exons. The record is from RefSeq and is a predicted model, not a curated record. Lineage: Eukaryota; Metazoa; Chordata; Actinopteri; Cypriniformes; Cyprinidae.